GAGUAAUCCUCCUUCAUUAUGACCAUUCCAGCAAUUGAGCAUCUUCUCACCCCUCCAUUUUGUGACCACUUUAAGACUACUGGAAAAAGAAAGAGAAAGAAGUCACAGUAGAUUGGAUAUACAACUACUUUUCAUUUUUCUUCUACCAUGUUUUACUUUCUCCCUCAGCCAGUCUUCCUGCCAACAGCCCCGGACACCUCUAAAUCCCUGAGGCUGGAUGAAGAAGCUCCAGAGAAGAAAAUAGCCAGUCAGAAACACAGAAUCUCCUAGUUCCUGACAUGGAUUUACCCAUUAGACUUCACUAAUUCGAGGAUCUCCUUCUAGCCCCAGAACACAGGUACAUUACUAUACUUGAUUCUCUUAUCUAUGGACAAAAUGGCAUGACUUUCAAUCCAUUUGGUAA
RNAcentral lists this long non-coding RNA (403 nucleotides) under Vulpes vulpes (red fox). RNAcentral's name for it is "lncRNA (ENSVVUG00000021932.1)". Lineage: Eukaryota; Metazoa; Chordata; Mammalia; Carnivora; Canidae. The record is from RNAcentral.